UUUCAACUAUUUGAUAUUUACAGAGUUGGAAUAGGUGGUCGCCAACAUCACUCUCCCCAGGAGGGUUGAAGCAGGCUGCUGUUAACCAGAAGCUUCCCAGGUUGGACUGAUAUCGACUACCACUACACAGGGGAUGUCUUUCUCCUCCCCAACCGGACCCCAAUAGAGCUCAGCUUUGGAAGCUGGGAUUCCCACGGUAUUCGCUCUCCCAUCUCCCUGCCAAGAUUCCCAGGUCCUCUGGAGAGCCGGACCGCAUUAUGCCAUUGACUCUGGACCGAUGGAUAUACCUUUUGCUGACCCCGCAUCAUAAGUGUGCGAAGUUCCUAGCAGGAUUUAUUAAGUCCCCGAGCAUCUAGAACUGUAGCCGCGCCCGUGGAGAAACCUAGACCCGAAAUUACAAAGGAUCCAAGAUUCUGGGAAGUUUCUCCCAGUUCUUAAAGCACCCUCCCUUACUUCCUUAGCUAUUCACUUCCCCCCCAGGGUUGGGAGGCGGGGGAAAAAGCAGCAGUUUAGGUUCCUAAUUUACAAAAACUGCUGAAAGUGAAUUCUUAUUUAGCCCAGACAAUUCGUAGUGUGGCAGGUUGUUAUUGUCGGUUUGCUUUUUACCUUGGUAACUGUCUUAUCACGCCCACACACCCACACUCCCGCCCACUUGCAAAGUAGAGGCAGGUAAAUAAAAGGUGUGUCUGCUUACUAGAAUAGACAGAGAUUCAGAUCUCUAGGUUGCUUAAGAUAUGCAAAGUUAAUUCGGGACACCUAAAACCUGGAAUAACCAAACACUAAAAUGAAUAAAAGAGAAAGCUGGAGAAGGAGGCAGGAAGGAAUUCCAUUUUGGAAGAGAAGAAAACAUAGUUGCUGCAAGUAUAAAAUGAAGGUUAGAGCCCAAAGCAAGUAGUUCCCAGAUCAGCUAUCUAAGUAAGAGAGGAUGUGGACACAGUGCUGAUGGACUUGGAAAAUAAGGACCGAGGUUCAAAACUUACCUCCACCACUCACUGGGUGAGUAACUUUAGGCAUCACUUUAUUCUACAGGUCUCAUCUCAGUUUCUUCAUUUCUAUAAAAUGCUUAUUGCCUAUAAAAGGAGGUGAUUGGACCAAGGACAUUUCCAGCCCUAAAGCCUAUGACACCAUGAGUUGAGAGAAUGUAGCAUCAACGAUGGUCUAGGGAGUUCAGGGAAAGCUUCAUAAGAGAAAGAUUUCAUUGAUGUAGAGAACCAUGACUCUAUUUCCAAUCCUGUUUGACAACAUGACACACAAUUUGGGGACCUGUCUGAGUCACCAAGGAGAUCUGAUGAUUUCACUGGCUUUUCCCUGCAACUGGCUCAUCGGGGAAAUAGGUCAGCAUCUCCCCUCAUAGAGUCUUUUGAGAAUUCACUUGUUAGUCAUCAGACACUUCUGGAUAUUCUGGUCUAGUGGAUAGAGGGGAUCUGGAAUCCUUUCCUGGAUGCUUAUUAGCUGUGUGACCCUGACCACUAGUAAUAGUAAUAAUCAUAUAAUCUCUCUGUGCCUCAGUUGCCUGAUCUGUAAAAUAAGAAUAAUAAUGGCUCUAAUAUUUGCUUCACUGGCUUAUUGUAAGGAUGAAAUAAGAUAAUAGAUAGAAAAUACUUUUUAAAUCUUAAGGCACCAUAUAAAUGUGAGUUAUUAUUAUGUUACUAGUAUAUUUGAACUCAUAACAAAUUUUAGAGAGGAAAGCUAAUUGUAAGGACAAACUGGUUACACACAUUUUAAAGCUAGAUGCCCUUCAUUAUAUUAAUGAGUGUCCCUAAAGUCAUAUCAGACAGCUAGAUGGCUCAGUGGAUAACACUGGGCUUGGAAUCAGGAAGAUUCUUCUUUCUGAGUUUAAAUCUACCUUCAGACACUUACUGGUUGAGCAAGUCACUUAACACUAUCUGCUUUAGUUUUCUCACCUGUAAAAUGAGCUAAAAAAGGAAAUGGCAAAUCAGUAUCUUUGCCAUGAAAACUCCAAAUGGGGGUCACAAAGAGUUAAACAAGACAAAAAAAAAAAAACAAUAACAACAACUGAACAACAACAUCAAUAUGCAGUAAGAGUUUUUAACGAUAUAUCAGGAUAUCUAAAAAGGCAACAAUGCAUAAUUGAAGCUCCUUUUGGCCUGAGAUAAUUUCAAUUUUGUUUUUGUUUCUCCAUUGCCCAGCUUCUAUUAUUUCCCGCCCCCCUUCCUGUUCCUACUACUCUUAUCAUCAAAGGCUCUUAUCAUCUCUCACCUAGGUGACAGUAAUAGCCUCCUAACUGUUUUCUCUUGCUUCUCUCCAGCUUGUCCCCUUUUCAAAUGAUCCUUCAAAGAGCUGCCAAAAUUAUCUUUCUCUUAGGCUCUGAACAUAUCACUCUUAUGGUCAAAUACCUUCAAUGGCUACACAUUGUCUGAAGGAUAAAGAACAAGCUCCUUAUCCCUGUACUCAAGGUUCCAAAAUCUGGUUCCAAUCUAU
Long non-coding RNA from Antechinus flavipes (yellow-footed antechinus), 2442 nucleotides. RefSeq lists it as uncharacterized. The record is from RefSeq and is a predicted model, not a curated record. Lineage: Eukaryota; Metazoa; Chordata; Mammalia; Dasyuromorphia; Dasyuridae. The transcript is spliced from 3 exons.